UCUCUCUCUCUCUCUCUCUCUCUCUCUCUCUCUCUCUCUCUCUCUCUCUCUAUGGAUUUGUUCUUGUACACUUAUGUCAGUCUGAUCAAGCACUGGGUUCUAAAGUGAAGUAUAGAGUUGUUUUAUGCAAUUCUCUAUCAAAAGUUUGUUUGAGUCUCUAGUGUGGAUGGAGUUUAUGUGGGCUCUAUUUCUUGAAUGAGAAUUGAUGUAGAAAAAAGAGUUUUUUCUAUUCUUCUUUCAAGUUCUUCCUGCAAUAAAAGCUAGUGGCAUUGAUUAUCUGACACCGUCUUGAUUUGAGGUUUCUCUUUGAAUGUGGUGUUAAAUGACAAAGAAAGAAUCGGUGGUUCACGUGAAAAUGGCUAUUUGAGUUGUUUGGAAAGGAAGGAAGCUAUUGGUAGUAGCUAUAACUUAGUGUGUUUAUUGCAGAGGAGGAGGGGAAAGCGAAGAAGAUAAGAUCAAAACGGGAUGGGAGAACGUGUGUCUCAGUGUUUGGUUGGUUCACCAAGUUGAAAUUGGGGAGAGCAUGGCAAUCUUAGGAGCCACAAGAGAAUUUGGGAUCUUGGAUGAAGAAUGUGGCAACGGACUGGACCAAGAGCGGAUUGUUACAUGAGUUAGAACUGAAAAGAGGUGAAUCUGUCAAAUUAGAAGAACUUAUGUUAGAUUUUGCUGAUAUUACUGAGAUUCCUAUGUCUAUCGGUUCUCUGAUGAAGCUGGAGAAACUGAGUGCCUGCUGUUGUGAGUCACUCAGAGAAAUCCCUAGCUUAAUUUGAGAUUUGCUGAAUUUGCAACAUUUGGACAUUAGUGGUUCUGGGAUUGAAAAGCUUCCUAGUGCUAUUGGAAGGUUGAAAAAUCUGCGCACUAUAAGUCUCCUAUCAUGCCUUGUCUGAAAAAGCAAUUCCAAGUGAAAUCGGUGACUUGUCUUCACUUGAGAUUCUCUAUAUCACUUGUGUGCCAAUAUCUACCCUACCAGAAAGCAUUCGGAAUGUUUCUUCUCUCCAAUGCCUUAGCCUAAUGGGCUAUGACAAGCUCCGGUUGCUGCCAAAGCUUCCUUCAAGCUUGACAUAUCUGUUGAUCUCUUGUCAGAGUCCCAGGUUGCCACAGCUUUCUAGCCUAAUCCACCCAGAAAAACUCCAUUUUAAGGCAUGCCAUCUAGUUGAAGACAUCCAUGAGAUUUCCUCAAGACCCUUGAAAUUCUGUAUUGAGGAGUGUGAUAAGCUUAUAUUGCUUAAGCUCAAUAGAUUCGAGUACUUGGAAGAGUUUUGAAUAAAAAAAUGCAGUUUGAUUGAAAGAUUGGCCCUUUCACAAUUAAUCCAUCUGAAAUGAUUAUGCGCCAAGCAUUGCAAUAACCUAGUUGAAAUUCAGGCCCAUGAUGAUUUGGAGUUCUUGGAGGGCAUAUUUAUAUAUGACUGCAAUUCCAUUAAAAGGCUUCUCUGUCCAAAAUCACAGUGUUUGGAGGAAUUACGGGCCAUCAGGUGCAACAAUCUAGUCGAAAAUUGAGGUCUUGACGGUGUGUAGUUUUUAGAAAAAUUGGAUAUUACAAGAUGCAUGGCAAUGGAGGCUUUGCCAAGUUUGAUGGGACGUGAGAAGUUACAAUCUCUAGUAAUUAAAGACUGCAAGAAACUUACUCAGCUUCAGGGACUUGAAAAGAUGGAUUUAGAUCUUUUGGAUGUUCAAGGUUGCAACUCAUUGGAAAUGCUGUUGAAAUUAUCUAGAACAUGCGUCACUGGAAAUUAUGAAGAGAUCUAUCUCGAUCUCUCUGUUGAAAUAUUAUACUACAGUGAUAAUGAUGUGAUGAAUCUUAUACCCGUAUUACAACAGUGAGACGAGUCAUGUUUCCUUGACAGAGGGUUCUGACUUCCCUAAAUUGCGAGUAUUACCUAAUUGAAGGAGCAAGGGUAGUUGGUCAUAGAAGUUGACAUGAUGCUUCAGCCAAGAUCAAAAUAUAGACCCUAAUGUCAAUAGAAGGCACUGGUUAUCUAGUUAGAUUCUCCAUCCUUGAAUGGCCAGCGUGAGAGAAUGGAGUAACACUUUUCUUGAAGCUAUAUUUUUUAAGAAUGAUUUGCUCCGCACCGGGUCUGGUUGGUCUAUAGGAUGAUCAAGGCUUACUUUGGGACUUAAAUUUGAUGAGCUUUAUCGAUGAUCUUUUGCAUAAUGGGACAAAUUUUUUGCCCUUUCUGUGAAACAAGCGGGGGCAAGGAGCUCAAGAACUUGCUAAUGAGUCUGCAUCCCAUCUAAUCCUAUUGUUGUCAUGGAAUCGUUUUAUCACAUGAUUAAUCUGAGUCUGGCUAACUUGGCUGAGGAACUUCAAAUUCCAUGCCAGAGACUGAUCAAAAUGAAGAAGAUAUAUUUUGCAAAGGAAGCACUAGCAACAGCUGAGGACCAUCUUUUGUGCCAACGUUGAAGAGGCUCAUGGACCAACUGGAGUGUGUUUAGGAAGUUUUGAUGCUUGUGAGGAUCCAAAACACUUCAUCUGAUCUCAACAGCACAUGCUUGAAUGAUUUAAAUGUUGUAUUUCAGUUGAGUCUGCUUUUUGUAUGCACUCGAGGUUCAACCUCUCUGUCAAUCAAAUGUGUAGCUGGCUGAUUCUUUUGUAUGUCAUCCUGAUGCAGAGGUGUUUGAUGCCAUUGCAUUCUAAUGUUAUCACACCUGAACUCAGUGAGGCUCUGCAGAGGGAGUCUGAGCACCUCAUCUUCUCAGCAUAAUUUUAUUAACAAGGAAAGUGUUGCUAGUUGCUUUCGUCUCCAAAGCUGAAGUGCACUUUCAUCUUUGUGUUCCUAACCACAAACAAGAAAAGUGUUGCUAGUUGCUUUCGUCUCCAAAGCCUGUUGUUUUCUUUUUCAUUGGCCAGCUGAUGAGGUUUUUGUUCAUUGUUGUCCAACUGCAAUUGGGGCAAAUGAUGCUUUGUGCAUUUGCACCUUAUCUUUCAUGGUGUAUAUUGUGAUGCUCCGAUCUUAGUUAUCUUCAUUCAUUGAUAAUUAGUAAAUCCUAUCCUUCUUGUGUAGAUUCAACUCUUAUUUCAUAAAAUUCAGAUAGCAUCCCCAAACAUCACAGGAAGGAGAUGUGGGCAGGAAUGAGAUAUGUCAUGAGACGUUAUGGAAAGGCGUUCCAAAGUUCUUCGCCAUUGGUGCUUAUAAUGUGCUCCAUGUUGUUGAUAUUCUUCUUAUGAUUCAUAAUAUAAAGGGACCUCUUAUAAUGUGUAGUUGUCCUUUGCAAGCUUUGAAAUCGUGCUAUUAUUUAGCAAACACCGAAUUUCAAAAUGCUUGCAAGAAGACCGCAUAUGUGCAGGUGGUUCUGUACGUGAAGUUAAGCAUGAAGUGAGGUUUAUCAAAAAGAUUACUAUUUAGAUAUCCACUUCAAGCUACGAUUUUGUCAAUGUGAGAGACUUCUUCAUGGAAAAAGCAAAUGUCAUGGAAUCAGCAAAUAAUCUAUCAAUUGCAGGCAAGAUUUUCAGCGGAAAAAUUCCCAAAAGACAGUAGUUUCUCAUUUGGAAGAAUUUUGAGCACAAAAUAAAAGUGUUUGUCAAUGUACAAUCAUCUCUCGGACUUGGGAAGUUCAUGUAUUGGCAUUUUGCAAUCACUUGUAAGUGUAUAAUCUCAAACUCGAUUCCUUUAAGCAUGAAUCUAUAAAGCAGAGUAUACACAGCCGUACAAUUUCCA
Long non-coding RNA from Eucalyptus grandis, 3656 nucleotides. RefSeq lists it as uncharacterized. The transcript is spliced from 4 exons. Lineage: Eukaryota; Viridiplantae; Streptophyta; Magnoliopsida; Myrtales; Myrtaceae. The record is from RefSeq and is a predicted model, not a curated record.